GGAGAAAGCAGGGGAUCGUAAGACCUUGUGCUUUUGGAGCGGCCGAUGCCUGAUUAGCUAGUUGGUAAGGUAAAGGCUUACCAAGGCUUCGAUCAGUAGUUGGUCUGAGAGGAUGACCAGCCACACUGGGACUGAGACACGGCCCAGACUCCUACGGGAGGCAGCAGUGGGGAAUUUUGGACAAUGGGCGAAAGCCUGAUCCAGCAAUGCCGCGUGAGUGAAGAAGGCCUUCGGGUUGUAAAGCACUUUCAGUCGAGAAGAAAAGGUUGUGACAAAUAAUCACAACUUAUGACGGUAUCGACAGAAGAAGCACCGGCUAACUACGUGCCAGCAGCCGCGGUAAUACGUAGGGUGCAAGCGUUAAUCGGAAUUACUGGGCGUAAAGGGUGCGCAGGCGGCUUCGUAAGUCAGAUGUGAAAUCCCCGGGCUUAACCUGGGAACUGCGUUUGAAACUACAAGGCUAGA
RNAcentral lists this ribosomal RNA (465 nucleotides) under uncultured beta proteobacterium. RNAcentral describes it as "bacterial SSU rRNA". It matches the Rfam family "Bacterial small subunit ribosomal RNA", at positions 199 to 645 of the family's 1533-position model. The record is from RNAcentral. Lineage: Bacteria; Pseudomonadati; Pseudomonadota; Betaproteobacteria.